AUUCCAGCUCCAAUAGCGUAUACUAAAGUUGUUGCAGUUAAAAAGCUCGUAGUUGGAUUUCUAAUCUCUCUUGGGGCUCCUUUUCUAAAGAAAUGUGCGACCAUUCAAGAGAGAUUAUCCUCGCGCCUAGCCUUUCUCACUUUCAUUAGUCAGGAAGGGGACGCACGUCAUUUACUGUGAGCAAAAUAGAGUGUUCAAAGCAGGCUUAGGCCAUGAAUAUAUUAGCAUGGAAUAAUAAGAUAGGACCUUGGUCUAUUUUGUUGGUUUACAUUCCAAGGUAAUGAUUAAUAGGGAUAGUUGGGGGUAUUCGUAUUCAAUUGUCAGAGGUGAAAUUCUUGGAUUUAUGGAAGACGAACUACUGCGAAAGCAUUUACCAAGGAUGUUUUCAUUG
RNAcentral lists this ribosomal RNA (391 nucleotides) under Chrysophyceae sp. RNAcentral describes it as "partial small subunit ribosomal RNA". It matches the Rfam family "Eukaryotic small subunit ribosomal RNA", at positions 582 to 975 of the family's 1831-position model. The record is from RNAcentral. Lineage: Eukaryota; Chrysophyceae.